AACGAACGCUGGCGGCAGGCCUAACACAUGCGAGUCGAGCGCCCUUUCGGGGGAGCGGCGGGCGGGUGAGUAACGCGUGGGAAUAUGCCCUUCUCUACGGAAUAGCCUCGGGAAACUGAGAGUAAUACCGUAUACGCCCUAUGGUGGUAAGAUUUAUCGGGGAAGGAUUAGCCCGCGUUGGAUUAGGUAGUUGGUGGGGUAAUGGCCUACCAAGCCGACGAUCCAUAGCUGGUUUGAGAGGAUGAUCAGCCACACUGGGACUGAGACACGGCCCAGACUCCUACGGGAGGCAGCAGUGGGGAAUCUUAGACAAUGGGGGCAACACUGAUCGAGCCAUGCCGCGUGAGUGAUGAAGGCCUUAGGGUUGUAAAGCUCUUUCAGCUGGGAAGAUAAUGACGGUACCAGCAGAAGAAGCCCCGGCUAACUCCGUG
This 431-nucleotide ribosomal RNA is filed under the name uncultured bacterium. RNAcentral describes it as "partial 16S ribosomal RNA". It matches the Rfam family "Bacterial small subunit ribosomal RNA", at positions 29 to 507 of the family's 1533-position model. The record is from RNAcentral.